CUACGGGGGGCUCCAGUAAGGAAUAUUGCGCAAUGGAGGCAACUCUGACGCAGCCAUGCCGCGUGCAGGAAGAAGGCCUUAUGGGUCGUAAACUGCUUUUAUUUAGGAAUAAACCCCCGAACGUGUUCGGGGCUGAAGGUACUAAACGAAUAAGCACCGGCUAACUCCGUGCCAGCAGCCGCGGUAAUACGGAGGGUGCAAGCGUUAUCCGGAUUUAUUGGGUUUAAAGGGUGCGCAGGCGGGCUAUUAAGUCAGUGGUGAAAUCCCGGGGCUCAACUCCGGAACUGCCAUUGAUACUGAUAGUCUUGAGUUUGGUUGAAGUGGGCGGAAUGUAGCAUGUAGCGGUGAAAUGCAUAGAUAUGCUACAGAACACCAAUCGCGAAGGCAGCUCACUAAGCCAAAACUGACGCUCAUGCACGAAAGCGUGGGGAUCAAACAGGAUUAGAUACCCCCGUAGUC
This 459-nucleotide ribosomal RNA is filed under the name uncultured bacterium. RNAcentral's name for it is "partial 16S ribosomal RNA". It matches the Rfam family "Bacterial small subunit ribosomal RNA", at positions 339 to 795 of the family's 1533-position model. The record is from RNAcentral.